Long non-coding RNA from Sapajus apella (tufted capuchin), 6446 nucleotides. RefSeq lists it as uncharacterized. The transcript is spliced from 2 exons. The record is from RefSeq and is a predicted model, not a curated record. Lineage: Eukaryota; Metazoa; Chordata; Mammalia; Primates; Cebidae.
CCCACCACCAGGCUCUGCUAAUUUUUUUAUAUUUAGUAGAGACAGGGUUUCACCAUAUUGGUCAGGCUGGUCUUAAACUUCUGACCUCAAGGGAUUACAGGCAUGAGCCACUGCUCCUGGCCAAUCUUCUGCUUUCCUAAUGAGAAAUUCAGCUUCCUUAGGGAGUUUUGAGGGCCACAUACUGUGUAUUUUGUUACACUUUCCUCAUGAUUUGGUGGUGGCCCAGAGGCCUGUUGUCAGCUUCUCAUCCAGGUUGAGGGUGCAAGACAACCUGUCUUUCUUCUGUUUUACUUGACUGAAUACUGCUGCAAGAAAAUAGGAAAAUCGGAGAAGUUUUUGUGUCUGGCCUGCUGAUUUUAUGUUUCAUUUAUAACAAACCCUCAGUGCUUAUCAUUAUAGGAAAGCUAAUCCAAUUCAUGCCAAUUGAGAGAUUAAUUUUGAAGGUGUGUAAAAACCUGGCCCAUUUUCAUCUGGCAAAGUAAACUACUUUGUUCUCUCAACUAACAAUUUAAAAUGUUUGAGCUUUAAGAAAGUUCAAAAUUAUAAAUGAGAAUGAAGAUUCUAGCACAUUUUAAAUCAGAAAGUCCAUUGUAUCUUAGCUUCUUUUCCUUUCUUUUGUUAUCUGUUAACCAUACCAAUUCUUAGUACCACUUUCUAGAGGGGAAGAGGAAUUGACAUUGAAAUUAUAUUACCUAUAAUUAGUCAACUACUUUAUGAAAAGAAGGAAGAAAGGAGGAAGGUAAGGAAAAGAAAGGGAGGGAGAAGAGAGAAAAAAUACAAAUUUUAAAAGAUUAAUGUAGGAUUUUGAAAUUAGCGGCUUUCAUUUCUAAAUCCCUUGUUACUAAUCAGAAUUCACUAACAUACAGGUUUACUGUUAUGGUUAUUACAUAGAAGAUAUUUUUGCCAUUUAGUUAUUUGAAAGAUGUGCCAUUUUAGAAUACUUUUGCUGUAAAUAAUAGAAUAACCUCAUAAGGGCUGAAAGAAUGAAGACUUUUAAUUAACUUGCCCAACCCACAGCCUGGAGAUGAGAGGUUCCAGGUGGGCUUAAAAGCUCUGAGAUGCUCUAGACCAUCCAAUCUUUGGACUGGUCACUACAUAAUCACAGGAUGGUUACCUCAGUUCCAAAUAUCUUUGCUUCACUUAGGAAGGAAGGAGGCCCAGGUUAGGGCUUUCUUCUAACAAAAUUAUUUUCAUAAAGGCCCCAGCAAACUUCCUCUUGCUUCCCUCUGAUAGGAACUGGGUCACAUGCCUACCCUGGCAAAGUUGAAUGGAAUAGCCAAGUUGACUUAGAUGAAUCCUGGUUCAGGCCCUAGCGCUAGGCUGGGUCCACAGUGCUAAGCACUCUCUCAUUUAAACUUCCUCACAUCCUGUUCGGGCAAAUACCAUUUCGUAGGAUAAAAACCAAAUGUUAAUAAAGAAAUAAGAGGCAUCCACAAUCAGUAAGUGAUGGUGCCCAGAUUCCAAUUUGCUUCUGUCUCUAGAGCCUCUCUUCUUGUUGGCAGCCCAGUGAGAGCCAUUCCCACCCCACUUUUCCUCUGUUCAUUUCCCACCAAAACAUCUGCAAGAGCCGGAUCCUUGCUUGCUCAGCCUUCAGUGCAAGCUUCUGGCUGCUAUCCCAGUUGCUGGGGGGACUUCUGGAAAGGAUUUUCUUCCUGGAAACAGGAGAAAUGCAUCUUUUGCCACCCUGAUAGUCUUGCUGCUUCCAGCCUCUGCACAUAGUUUGUGUAGGUGGCUGAAAAACAAAACAAAAUUAGAAUAAUCAUCUGAGAGGAUUUUAAACUGAACUUGAGCCAAGUUUCCUGCCCUUAAGAGUGUCAAGUGAAAAAGAUCUAUAUCAAUUAAUAAUUGCAAUAAAAUAUGACCAGUAAUCAAUCCCAUGGAAUAUUAAUUGUAUAUAUGUAAGAGUGACUGUUAUAUUUUCACUAUUUUUUCCCUAUAUUGCUGAUAGAUAUCUCCAAAAUAGGUUAUUUUCUUACCAACCUGCUGGAGCUGUGACUUCAUCUUUCUUAUCCAGAACCCUUAUUGGGCUUAGUUCCUCAUCAGUAAUGCUGAAUUUUGCUAUUAGUCAGUCCUAGGCAAGAAACUAGAUUUUUUUUUUCAACCCUUCAUUGUUGUUCUUCCAAAUUGCUGCUAAAACUUGUCUUUUUUUCCCACCGCUAAUGACAUCUCCCACAUCUGGGUCUCCAUCACCAUCACCUCUGCCAAGGCCUGGUUCCAGGCCUACGUCACCUCCCGUUGGAGUACUCACAGCUCCUUCUCGCUGGCUAUCUGCUGCUACUGCCUUUCCAGGACAGUCUUUCUUGGAAGUCCUUCCCAUAGCUUUGAGCAUUGAUCUUCACCUUUUUUACUCUUGUAAUUGUGCAUCAGUUCCCACAGGCAGGGAUUGCAUGACAGAUGCUUUUGAUGUAUGUCAAUGGUUGCAAGCACACUGAAUAAUUAAAAUAUCAUUGUGAACUGGGAGUCAUCAUCUGAAUUAAUUUCAUUGACGAAUAUAUCCAAAUCAUUUGUUUUGUUAGGUUCAAGAGUUCUGUGGGAUGCAGAAAUGGAGUGAAUCUUUGACUGGAAGUCUGUGAUCCAAAUACCAAUGAUAUUCUUGGAGUAUUAGUCACAGUCAUUGGCCAGAGAUGAGGUGGAAGUAUUAUUAUGGUACUACAAACACAAUUUAAGUUAAAGGGAGUAACAUCUGCUACUCUUAUUUUUAUGCUGGUGAGAUUUAAAUAGGCUAGAUUUGAUAAGGCAUAAUGUAGAAAUUGAGGAAAAGCUUGCUGAAAGUUAAGACCAAAAGCUAAGUAUAAUGCUCUGGUUAAUAUAUUAAAUGAGCUCAGGCAGAGGAUACAACUACUCAUGAAGUGUACACACUCCAGUGAUGGAAGACCCACUCAACAAUUCUCAAGUGUCCCUCGUACACAAAACAACAGCCAUCAAACUGGCCCAGUGAGCUCAUUAAAUAUCAUAUUGUUCUGCCAGACAAGGCCCUUGUUUUAGGGAGUGACUAAGAGACUGUCACUUCUUGGGCCAGGAGAAUGAAAAUCCUCUUCAGGCUCUGGGAAAAGGAGAGAGAUAAAUUGUUGACACUGUUCCUAAGGACAUCCCUCCCCAUUUCAGUCUAUGUCUGAUUGGUCUAUGUUUUAUAUUGAAAGAUGACAACUCAGCUGAUUUAUUCAGCUUAGUGUAUUCAUGAAGUUCUUGCUAUUGACCCACACAAGAGGCAGAAAGUUAGAAUGUUCUUUGUGGAUAGUGCUAAGUUAAUACCAAAGGAUCUACCCUAGCCUGACACUGCUGAGGCUGGCAAAGUUAUGUGAGCUCAGAAGUUGAAUCCAAGCCUCUAUCUCCUCCACUUUAACUGGAAAGUUAACACAGUCCGGAAGAGUCAGCCAGGAGUAUCAGCUCGUUUGUGUUAUUUGCUUUUAUUUUUUCUUGCUGAAAACAGAAGUGAAUUACACUCUUCACUGAAUCCUGCUGCAGAGGAAAAUGAUGCAACACUGGUCACAUGACACAAAGAUAAAAGGCCCUUUAUGCAAAUCUAGUUCUUCAUUGUGUUUCCAUGUAAGGAGAGGUUCAGUACCCACACUGCAAAGCAACAUAAAAUUGCAGUUCUUAAUCUUGGAUCCUUCUCUACAUGGAGAAGCCAUGAUGUUUUACUUUGUUUAUCUCUCUUUUUAAAUUUUUCUGCCUUUUUGACCACAAGAUUCAUUAAUUUUCAGAUAUGUCUGUGAAAUGAAAAGUGUAGAGUGAAGUGAUGUUUUAUUUGUAUAAUGAUCAGCCAGCUUGAGGAAACAUUUUGGAGAGAAAUUGUUUGUUUUUAAAUCAUUCAGCACUGUCAAGAAUUGCUCUCUGUAAAAAUAUUAACUUUUUUCUACAUUUACCUAAAUGUCAUUUAUGUUACAAGAAUUUAACUUACUUUUAAACCUUCUAGCCACUUUUGCCAAAAUGGAAGGAAACCAUGCUCAGUGAAGUCUACUGAGCUAGUUUAAUUCUUUACUCACAAGGUCUUUUUUCAUGAGGAGAAUGCUGCUGUUUCAUAUUUAUUUGGAGACACUGAUGGCCUUACUAGAAAAAAAAAAUCUGAAUGUAAAGAUUUUAUCUUGAUGAUUAAGGUACAUGUACUCAAAUAGCUGCCCAAAUUGGACAUGGUUGAAUAAGCUUCAGGAAGUGCCUGAGAGUGAAUCAGCAGUGCUCCCUUUCCCUUCUUAUCAAUUAUUAAAUGCUUACAUGUAUAGGGUACUGUGGUGCAUAGAGUACACAGUGAUUCAGCAGGCCCAGCUCUUGUCUUCCCUGGGCUUCACAAUCAAAGACAGCCUACUUUAGUGAAAGGAAAGACAUAAGAAAGUUGCAGAGAGCAUAAAUAGGUGCUCUGCCUGUGUGAGGCAUUGUGCUGGGACCUAGUGACACUGACCUAAAUAAUCAUUUAGAGAAGGAAGUGAUUCAUCAUUUUAAGAGUGGGGGAAGAGGCUGAGGGAUAGUUACACAGAGGCUAUGACGUUUGAACUUGAAGAAUGUCACAGAGAAUAGGGGGAAAGGCAGAGGGAAGAGCAUGAGCAAUUGCAGGGAGUUGGGGAGGUGCCUGAGGGAAUGACAACUGGAUCCCAGGGUCCCUGAAGGAGUGACAGAUGGUGUAUACAAAGGCAAGCUUGGUCAGAUGACAGAGAGCAUGGAAGGUCUGCUGAAAGGUCUGGGCUUAUUCUAAAAGCACUGGGCAACCUCAUCAGUUUUUAAGCAGGGAACAGCAUGAUCACAUCCCAGCAAAUUCAGGGACUGGAGAAUGGCGGUAGGGCCAAUCACUGCAAGGAUGCCCCAGGAAAGAGACAGCAAGGACUCAAAAUAAAGCAGAGGAGUUGGAUAGAAGGGAACAGAUUCAAGCCAGUUGUCUGGGGUAGAAUUGCCAGGGUUUGUUGUCUUCCCUGGGUCCAGCCUGUGUUUCAUUUUAAUGUAUGAUAAAAACAUUCAUUAUUAUGUAGCUCAAGCAAGCUGCUUUAAAAAAAUAGACAGAAGCAAUUACUUGAUGAACAGUGUUUUGAAAUUAUACCUUGGCUAGAAAAUAUGCUCUUUAAAUAGAAUAUUUGUGUUGAGAGUAGAAGGUGAUGGCAGGGUUCUCUCUUGACAAUACUCAAUUGACUUAAUGCACCAAAUUAACACAGUGGUGUUGUAUAGCUGCUAUGUAAAGCCCCUAUUACAUUCAUUUUCUUUUUAGUUCCACGUUAUAGAUUGGCAGAGAUUUUCUUUGGUUUUGUUUUUCAAGGAAAUACACAUUUUAGAUGGCCAGAUGACCUUAACUCAUUUAAAUGUCAAAUAAAUACCCAAUGGAUACUGCAUAGCCUGUUGGAUUACUUUGGGAUAGUUUUAGAGUAUCAAUUCAUCUAAGUUGUCUAACCACUUUUUACAUAUUACAAUCUCUCAGAAAAAAUGUAGCGUAAUUUUCAUAGAAAACAAAGGCAUCUUGAAUGCUCCCAAAGAUAACACCUCUUAGGAAACAAGUUCAAUAUGAUCUCUGUCAGCUGCUUUUAUUGUAUUCAGAAUUCUAUGUGACUUGGUCCUGCUAUGACAGACAGGCAUUAGCAAUUGUUUCACCUUUCUUUCUGUCCUUCAGGGAGAGCAGUGUGCUUUCCUGGGCCAUGUAUAGUUGCAUAAUAAACCCCUCCCAGAGACAAGGUCUCCUAGCCUUAGGGGAGUUUUCAAAAGCAUAUUUUGCUCUGUUUGUAUGCCACUUCCAACUCCAUCCCAUUAGGCUAGUUGAAUCAGAUUCUCCCAAUGCCUCCUCCCCACCCUUAUGCGAGGAAGUUUUAGAAAUCGUAUUAUCAUUAUGGGCUGACCGGGCAUGACGGUGACUACUUCAGAAUGCCACACAGUACUCUGGUGACAACUAUUAAGUAAUGGCAUUACAUCAGUCAUCACGUAAGAAAGUGAGACAGAGGUGCACCUAAGUCUUCAUAAUGAAACAACAGGUUGUAAACCUUACACCUGUACUAUCUUGUACACUCUCAGUUCUCUGAAUGAAUAUUGCAAAAUAAAGAGACUUAAAAUUAAUUUUUAAUUAUAUCCACUACAUACAGCAUUUUAAGAAGACCCUUACAACAUAACAUUUCAACAGACUCUGAAAAGCAACAAUGAGGAUUAUUCAGGGAAACAAACCUAUACCAGCACAGUUGAGAACAGAGGUAAUAAUUUAAAUUGAGAGGUUAUACAGCCAUAAAACUCCAUUCAUGUAGAUACAUACUUAAUUCUUUCCAUUUCCUUCUGAUUUGGGAGCUCAAAAUUAUUUUAUCCCAGGAGGUAGUUGGGUGAGGAAAAUGACCGUUUCCUUGUAUUUGGUUAAGGGAGGUUUUGUGGUAUAAGUGGGAUUUUUACAGGUCUUUGAAGGAGAAGAUGGGUUGGCAGGAUUGAAGGAAAAGAUAUGUCAAGCAAAAAGUGUGUAGUUGGGAGAGGAAGAAGCAGAGGAAGGGAGUGGU